GACGAACGCUGGCGGCGUGCUUAACACAUGCAAGUCGAACGGAAAGGCCCUGCUUUUGUGGGGUGCUCGAGUGGCGAACGGGUGAGUAACACGUGAGUAACCUGCCCUUGACUUUGGGAUAACUUCAGGAAACUGGGGCUAAUACCGGAUAGGAGCUCCUGCUGCAUGGUGGGGGUUGGAAAGUUUCGGCGGUUGGGGAUGGACUCGCGGCUUAUCAGCUUGUUGGUGGGGUAGUGGCUUACCAAGGCUGUGACGGGUAGCCGGCCUGAGAGGGUGACCGGGCACAUUGGGACUGCGAUAGGGCCCAGACUCCUACGGGAGGCAGCAGUGGGGAAUAUGGCAGAAUGGGCGGAAGCCAGAUGCAGCAACGCCGCGUGCGGGAUGACGGCCUUCGGGUUGUAAACCGCUUUCGCCGUUGACGAAGCGUGAGUGACGGUAAUGGGUAAAGAAGCACCGGCUAACUACGUG
Molecule: ribosomal RNA, 468 nt
Filed under: uncultured bacterium
Lineage: Bacteria
Description: partial 16S ribosomal RNA
Rfam family: Bacterial small subunit ribosomal RNA
Source: RNAcentral